AAGCUCGUAGUUGAAUUUCGGGAUUAGUACGUCGGUCGUGCCUUAGGUACAUACUGGUGUUACUGGUUCCUACCUUCUGACGAACCAUCAUGUCAUUAAUUUGGUGUGGUGGGGAAUCAGGACUGUUACUUUGAAAAAAUUGAGUGUUUAAAGCAGGCUCGCGCUUGAAUACAUUAGCAUGGAAUAAUGAAAUAGGACGUUGAUCCUAUUUUGUUGGUUUCUAGGAUUGACGUAAUGAUUAAUAGGGAUAGUUGGG
This 256-nucleotide ribosomal RNA is filed under the name uncultured Glomus. Its description in RNAcentral is "partial 18S ribosomal RNA". It matches the Rfam family "Eukaryotic small subunit ribosomal RNA", at positions 624 to 886 of the family's 1831-position model. The record is from RNAcentral. Lineage: Eukaryota; Fungi; Glomeromycota; Glomeromycetes; Glomerales; Glomeraceae.